RNAcentral lists this ribosomal RNA (403 nucleotides) under uncultured bacterium. RNAcentral's name for it is "partial 16S ribosomal RNA". It matches the Rfam family "Bacterial small subunit ribosomal RNA", at positions 28 to 526 of the family's 1533-position model. The record is from RNAcentral.
GACGAACGCUGGCGGCGUGCCUAAUACAUGCAAGUCGAACGCAGUGGGGACGGGUGAGGAACACGUGGGUAACCUCCCAUCAGAGGGGAUAACACUUGGAAACAGGUGCUAAACCGCUACUGAUGGAUGGACCAGCGGUGCAGUAGCGAGUUGGUGAGGUAACGGCUCACCAAGGCCACGAUGCAUAGCCGACCUGAGAGGGUGAUCGGCCACACUGGGACUGAGACACGGCCCAGACUCCUACGGGAGGCAGCAGUAGGGAAUCUUCGGCAAUGGACGAAAGUCUGACCGAGCAACGCCGCGUGAGUGAAGAAGGUUUUCGUAUCGUAAAACUCUGUUGUUAGCGAAGCGCUAUCUAAUCAGAAAGCCACGGCUAACUACGUGCCAGCAGCCGCGGUAAUAC